This 316-nucleotide long non-coding RNA is filed under the name Hordeum vulgare. Its description in RNAcentral is "long non-coding RNA (HVUL_LNC021517)". The record is from RNAcentral. Lineage: Eukaryota; Viridiplantae; Streptophyta; Magnoliopsida; Poales; Poaceae.
GGGGAUGUAUAUAAUUGAGGAAGAGAUUGAAAAGAAUCAUUAGAUAUAAUGUGCCAUUUUAAUGCUGAUACUGGCGCAACUCCUAGGUAAGGAUGUAGAGUUGCCAAGUCACCAACUUCAAGUGUACCAUGCACCCUUGAUGCCUUCAUCAAUGUAACUUCUUGGUGAUUCAGUCCACUAUUGCUUAUAUACCAUUGAGUUUUGAAUUUGGUGACCAUUAUGAUAGGAAUGACCAAGGGACCAAACAACCUUUAUAUGACGACAAUGUCUGUGAGAGCGAUAUUAUAUGGAUUUUCUAGGUAGCUUAGGAAAAUUU